CAGUCGUACCGGCGGAUAAUCAGCCUUUCGGGUGCGAUUCUGUGGGGCGUGAGGAGCUUAACCGCCUUCAUGUUUUGCAUAUUCGUGCACAUUUGGUGUACUUGUCCGUGUGGUGGGUUAACAUCAACUUCGGUCGUCAUAAAAUGAUUGAAGGAAUGUAGCUUUGGUCUCGUAUCGAAGUGUUAUAGACUCUGGUAGAUGCGACGAUUGGGAUUGAGGAUUGCAACGGAUACCCCUUUGGGGGCUACCCGUCUGAUCCCUGAAGGUU
Molecule: ribosomal RNA, 268 nt
Filed under: Rhizophagus fasciculatus
Lineage: Eukaryota; Fungi; Glomeromycota; Glomeromycetes; Glomerales; Glomeraceae
Source: RNAcentral